UGAAUUAAUUUAUUUAAUGACAAAAAUAUUUGUAUCAAAAUUCACCCAUGAUCAUAUAAUAAAAAUAACUAAAAUUAUACUAAAGAAUAAUAUCUCAUUACAAACUCCUUAAAUAAAAGUAAAAUAUGUCCAAUGACAAGAAAAUCUAACUAAAAUAUAUCAAAUAUUACUCCUAAACAAAGAUAUAUAAGUAAAAAUUACCUUCCAAAGUAUCAAUAAUGUGGUGACACAUAGCUUGCAAUCAAUCUUACUUCAAUUCCCACCUUUUAUACCUGUAAAAAGAAAGAGAAAAUAAAAUAAAGAUCUAAAUUGAGAUAUUCAUAUUAGAGUCAAAAGUAAAAUAUGUAACACAAUUUUGUCUUUCAUAUGUUGUAAUGCCCAGUUUUAUAAGUAAUUUUUAAUUUACAAUAUAAAUUUUAUCAUUACAAAUUUAACUUGAGUGAAAGUUUAUGAAGUAUAUCAUCACAAACUACUCUAUAUGGCAACAUAAACUUCAUCAUUCAUGAAACUGCUAACUAUUAAAACAUAAUGUAAAAACUACAAUCUAGUAAAAUUAUAAGUGCAAAAUGAACAAAAGAACAUAAAAAUCCCACAUAAAACCAUAAAACAGUACCAAGUUCAUAUCUUUAACAAUUGGUCUCCUAAAUAAAGAAAAAAUAAAAAAAGAAGACUAAGUUGUGAUUAGGCCUCAUAUGGUAUAGUCUCCAGUCAAUUACUGAACCACAUAGUGUGAAAAAUGAUAAUAAAACAUAGCCAAUAAAACUUAGAUCUACAUAUCCAUUAAAGAUUAACCAGUGAUUAUGUGAAUAUAGGGUUAAAGAAUAUGAAAUACAAAGAAAAGACCUUUCUUGUUGAUUUCUUUUCAAUUUUUGUUUUCAUUUCUCUCUCUAUAUAUUUGUUUUAAAGUUGAACGUGGGAGAUGAGAAAGGAAAGGAAGAUGAAAGAAGACAAAGAAGAAAAAAAGGAAUAUUUUUUUAUCUUUUCUGUAUCAGUGUGGUUGAACUACCUGAAAAUAAUUUAUUUUUUUUAUGUUUCCUAUUUUGAUUCUUUUAAUUUUUUUCCUUUUUAAAAUUAAUUAAUUGUCUUGGAAGAUUAAAAAAAAAAGAACCAUCAAAAUCGAUGACGGAAAACCAACAAUGCAAAUUGUCAUGGGGUCCACCUUAUAAGAUACUAGAAAAAAUAUAUAAAAACAAUUACACUUCCACUAUUUAUUGAUAAUUGAUACACUAUUCUUAAAGUAAAAUUAAGCAAGUGUAA
RNAcentral lists this long non-coding RNA (1257 nucleotides) under Solanum tuberosum (potato). RNAcentral describes it as "long non-coding RNA (STUB_LNC007488)". Lineage: Eukaryota; Viridiplantae; Streptophyta; Magnoliopsida; Solanales; Solanaceae. The record is from RNAcentral.